AAAAAGACCCGGACUUUCGGAUCCCAAGCGGUUCUUCAGGUGGUGUUGGAGAGGCGGAUGCAGUCCAAGAUAAAGACAAUGUUGGAUAACACCUCCCACCCACUCCAUGACAUGCUGGUCAGUCACAGGAGCUCGUUCAGUGAGAGACUGAGAUUACCGAAAAGCACCACUGAACGACACAGGAAAUCUUUCCUGCCUGUGGCCAUCUCCCUGUACAACGCAUGCACUUAACACACUGUUUGCUGCUAUAACUACACAUGUUUCUUUUUAAGCUAUUUAUUUAUGAGUGACUUAUGUAUGUAUGUAUGUAUAUAUAUGUAUAUAUUGUACUAUUCUUAGUUAGCGUAUUGUCUGUCUUGUCUUAAUGUUGGUUUAUAAUGGAGCACUGUAACAAAAAAUAAUUUCCCCCAGGGAUCAAUAAAGUAUUCUGAUUCUGAUUCUGAUUAUUAUAUAAAUAGUCUUUUAUUUAUUCACAAAAUGUAAAAAAAAAAUUAUAAAAUCCAAAAAGCAACUAUGUACAAUUCAACUUUUAACUAUUUAAAGUUUCAGAUUUUUCCUUUUAAACAAAUUUAAAGGAAACAACACAAGAUACUGCAAACCACAACACAAUAAAAUAUUGAUUAAAAUAUGCAAAACACAAAGAAAAAAAAUGAAAGCCCAGGUCUUUAAUUAAGGGAAAAGUUGGCAUUUAGAAAUAUUAAUAUCACACUCAACUGACUGUGUUUUAUUUUUCCAUUGCACUGAUGGGUGGACAGUUCUCAGGUGCCUGUGCAGGUUGUUUGUGGAGCCGGCUCUAUAUGAUAGUCUUUUCUUGCAGACUCUACACUCUGCCUUUUAGUGUCAAUAAAAUUUAAAUGGUUCCAGAUUUUGCUUCUUUUCUUGAUGUCACUCAUUUUCUUUAACAUACCUUUCCAAUGUAACGAUGUUGUGUCUUGUUGUUGCUCCCAGCUCUCUUUCUGUCUCUCUCCCUCCUGCUCUUUUCGUGUGCUACUGCUGUUGCCAAACGCAAGGCUCUGUUUGCACCCCUCCAGUCUCUGCUCUGCGCAAAAAAACACGGCUCCCAAUAGAGAGUGAAAAUGUGACGUCAUUCCGGGGUAAAACCACAAAGGAUUCUGGGAACAAGUGGCAAGCAGUACUAGCCCACGCAGGCUUUCCCAUGAAAACAGUCACACAGCGAUAAAAAGAAACACAAAUAAUGGCAAGAAGCUGUUGUAUUAUUAACUGCAAUAGCCGGUCGCAUGACAGCCACAGGAAGCCGACGGGUAAAGAAAUCGGUUGUAAUCGGAUUACAUCGUUGAAGAGAAAUUGUUCAAGCCAUGUUUCAUGGCUUGAACAUGAACAUGACGGAUGGCCUGGAUUGCAGACCAAAUAUAAUGUCCCAGAACACUCCAGCUCACAUGUUAGUCUGCUCCAAGUAUUUCCACAAAGGUCAGUUUUCUGUUGUAGUUAUUACGUAAUUUAUCAUUUAUCAUAACAUAAUUGUUGAUUUAGGUUACAAAUAAGUCUUAUGUUGAUU
This is a long non-coding RNA of Astatotilapia calliptera (eastern happy), 1516 nucleotides long. The record is from Ensembl. NCBI's taxonomy places the organism in Eukaryota, Metazoa, Chordata, Actinopteri, Cichliformes, Cichlidae.